This 404-nucleotide ribosomal RNA is filed under the name Actinomycetes bacterium. RNAcentral describes it as "Actinobacteria bacterium partial 16S ribosomal RNA". It matches the Rfam family "Bacterial small subunit ribosomal RNA", at positions 355 to 776 of the family's 1533-position model. The record is from RNAcentral. Lineage: Bacteria; Bacillati; Actinomycetota; Actinomycetes.
UGGGGAAUAUUGGACAAUGGGCGCAAGCCUGAUCCAGCCAUGCCGCGUGAGUGAUGAAGGCCCUAGGGUUGUAAAGCUCUUUCAUCGGCGAUGAUAAUGACGGUAACCGGAGAAGAAGCCCCGGCUAACUUCGUGCCAGCAGCCGCGGUCAUACGAAGGGGGCUAGCGUUGUUCGGAUUUAAUGGGCGUAAAGCGCACGUAUGCGGACGUUUAAGUAAGGGGUGAAAUCCCGGGGCUCAACCCCGGAACUGCCUUUGAUACUGGAAGUCUAGAGUAUGAUAGAGGUGAGUGGUAUUCCGAGUGUAGGGGUGAAAUUCAUAGAUAAUCGGAAGAAUACCAGUGGCGAAGGCGGCUCUCUGGACCAUUACUGACGCUGAGAUGCUAAAGCAUGGGGAGCAAACAAG